This 216-nucleotide ribosomal RNA is filed under the name Glomeromycotina sp. RNAcentral's name for it is "partial small subunit ribosomal RNA". The stretch from base 40 to 216 matches the Rfam family "Eukaryotic small subunit ribosomal RNA", at positions 686 to 864 of the family's 1831-position model. The record is from RNAcentral. Lineage: Eukaryota; Fungi; Glomeromycota.
GGGUCAGUAGGUUGGUCGUGCCACCGGUACGUACUGGUCUCACUGAUUCCUCCUUCCUGAAGAACCGUAAUGCCAUUAAUUUGGUGUUGCGGGGAAACAGGACUGCUACUUUGAAAAAAUUAGAGUGUUUAAAGCAAGCUAACGCUUGAAUACAUUAGCAUGGAAUAAUGAAUUAGGACGAUCGAUCCUAUUUUGUUGGUUUCUAGGAUUGACGUA